UACGUAGGGCGCAAGCGUUGUCCGGAAUUACUGGGCGUAAAGCGUGCGCAGGCGGCGCGUUAAGACAGGUGUGAAAGCCCCGAGCUUAACUUGGGAAUUGCGCUUGUGACUGGCGUGCUGGAGUGUGGCAGAGGGAGGUGGAAUUCCACGUGUAGCAGUGAAAUGCGUAGAGAUCGGAAGGAACACCAGUGGCGAAGGCGGCUACCUGGACAGAUACUGACGCUGAGGCGCGAGAGCGUGGGGAGCAAACAGG
Molecule: ribosomal RNA, 253 nt
Filed under: uncultured bacterium
Lineage: Bacteria
Description: partial 16S ribosomal RNA
Rfam family: Bacterial small subunit ribosomal RNA
Source: RNAcentral